CUCUGAGAGGUGAAGCUGUGUGUGUGUGGGCCUCUCUGAGAGGUGAAGGUGAGUGUGUGUGGGUCUCUCUGAGAGGUGAAGGUGGGUGUGUGUGGGCCUCUCUGAGAGGUGAAGCUGGGUGUGUGUGUGUCUCUCUGAGAGGUGAAGCUGGGUGUGUGUGAGCCUCUCUGAGAGGUGAAGGUGAGUGUGUGUGGGCCUGUCUGAGAGGUGGAGCUGGGUGUGUGUGCAUCUCUGAGAGGUGAAGCUGGGUGUGUGUGGGCCUCUCUGAGAGGUGAAGCUGGGUGUGUGGGUCUCUCUGAGAGGUGAAGCUGGGUGUGUGUGGGUCUCUCUGAGAGGUGAAGUCUGGGUGUGUGUGGGUCUCUCUGAGAGGUGAAGCUGGGUGUGUGUGCCUCUCUGAGAGGUGAAGCUGGGUGUGUGUGCGUCUCUCUGAGAGGUGAAUCUGGGUGUGUGUGCGUCUCUCUGAGAGGUGAAUCUGGGUGUGUGUGCGUCUCUCUGAGAGGUGAAGCUGGGUGUGUGUGCGUCUCUCUGAUCAUCUGCUCAGUCAGUGUUCCCUCAAAAAGCCUUUUUACAAUCCGUAUCGAUCCACCCCAUUUUACCAUUCAUACCAGCAACCUCCAGGGUCAUUAGGAAAGG
This is a long non-coding RNA of Oncorhynchus tshawytscha (Chinook salmon), 633 nucleotides long. The record is from Ensembl. Lineage: Eukaryota; Metazoa; Chordata; Actinopteri; Salmoniformes; Salmonidae.